This 113-nucleotide ribosomal RNA is filed under the name uncultured eukaryote. RNAcentral describes it as "partial small subunit ribosomal RNA". It matches the Rfam family "Bacterial small subunit ribosomal RNA", at positions 1410 to 1525 of the family's 1533-position model. The record is from RNAcentral.
GUGGGUUCUACCCGAAGCCGGUCGCUAACCCCAGGAGGCAGCCACCACGGUAGGGUUCGCGACUGGGGUGAAGUCGUAACAAGGUAGCCGUAGGUGAACCUGCAGAAGGAUCA